This 103-nucleotide signal recognition particle RNA is filed under the name uncultured Prevotella sp. RNAcentral describes it as "Bacteroidales small SRP". It matches the Rfam family "Bacteroidales small SRP". Rfam says of the family: The non-coding component of the signal recognition particle in Bacteroides Lineage: Bacteria; Pseudomonadati; Bacteroidota; Bacteroidia; Bacteroidales; Prevotellaceae. The record is from RNAcentral.
ACACGGGCAAGUCCCGUACGGCCAGCUCCCUGUGAAUCCCCCAGGGUGGGAACGCAGCAAGGGUAGCAGGUUGUAGCGGCGCGAUACGGGUAGCUUGCCCACC